This 253-nucleotide ribosomal RNA is filed under the name uncultured bacterium. Its description in RNAcentral is "partial 16S ribosomal RNA". It matches the Rfam family "Bacterial small subunit ribosomal RNA", at positions 524 to 776 of the family's 1533-position model. The record is from RNAcentral.
UACGAAGGGUGCAAGCGUUAUCCGGAUUCGUUGGGUUUAAAGGGUGCGUAGGCGGAACAAUAAGUCAGCGGUGAAAGCCUGCAGCUUAACUGCAGAACUGCCGUUGAUACUGUUGUUCUUGAGUACGUUUGACGUGGGCGGAAUGUGCCGUGUAGCGGUGAAAUGCUUAGAUAUGGCACAGAACACCGAUAGUGAAGACAGCUCACGAAGACGAAACUGACGCUGAGGCACGAAAGCGUGGGGAGCGAACAGG